GACGAACGCUGGCGGCGUGGAUUAGGCAUGCAAGUCGAACGGUAUCAUCCUUUCGGGGGUGAGAGAGUGGCGAACUGGUGAGUAACACGUAGGUUAUCUACCCUCAAGACGGGGACAACCCAGGGAAACUUGGGCUAAUACCGGAUGUGAGCAACUUUUAGUUGUUUGAAAGGUGGCGUAAGCUGUCGCUUGGGGAUGAGCCUGCGUCCUAUUAGUUAGUUGGUGAGGUAACGGCUCACCUAGGCAAUGAUAGGUAGGCGGCCUUAACGGGUGGUCGCCCACACUGGGAUUGAGAUACGGCCCAGACUCCUACGGGAGGCAGCAGUCGAGAAUAGUCUACAAUGGUCGGAAGACUGAUAGUGCGACGCCGCGUGAACGAUGAAUCCCUUCGGGGUGUAAAGUUCUUUUAUAUGUGAGCAGUGCUUCUUAUAUUAACAGUAUGGGGAGAGAGAUAUUAGCAUAUGAAUAAGCAACGGCUAACUCCGUGCCAGCAGCCGCGGUAAACGU
Molecule: ribosomal RNA, 507 nt
Filed under: uncultured bacterium
Lineage: Bacteria
Description: bacterial SSU rRNA
Rfam family: Bacterial small subunit ribosomal RNA
Source: RNAcentral